UUUUAAUGGAGUUACAUUUUUUAGAGUUAAGAUUUUCACAUAAUUAUUUAGAUUAUGUAUGAUUUAGCUGAAGUAUAAUUAUAAUUUGAUGGUUUUUAGUUUUGGGGGACAAGUUAUUUGGGUAUAGUCUCCAAAGUAUACAUGCUUCCUGUGUUGACGUAGAUUCGAUAUGAUCCUUCAUAAUUGGGAGCGAACUUAUCUUUCAAGUGUUUCCCCUUCG
RNAcentral lists this long non-coding RNA (220 nucleotides) under Lathyrus oleraceus (garden pea). RNAcentral describes it as "Pisum sativum (pea) long non-coding RNA (PSAT_LNC016787)". Lineage: Eukaryota; Viridiplantae; Streptophyta; Magnoliopsida; Fabales; Fabaceae. The record is from RNAcentral.